CCCACGGCACUCCCUGCAUCCUCACUCACCGCUGGGAGAGAAGAUAAGCAGGGGGGUAAAUUAGAGAUGGGUAGCUGGGUAAAUUAGAUGGGUAGGUGGGUAAAUUAGAUGGGUAGGUGGGUAAAUUAGAUGGGUAGCUGGGUAAAUUAG
This is a long non-coding RNA of Eriocheir sinensis (Chinese mitten crab), 150 nucleotides long. RefSeq lists it as uncharacterized. Lineage: Eukaryota; Metazoa; Arthropoda; Malacostraca; Decapoda; Varunidae. The record is from RefSeq and is a predicted model, not a curated record. The transcript is spliced from 3 exons.